RNAcentral lists this long non-coding RNA (2159 nucleotides) under Homo sapiens (human). RNAcentral's name for it is "HSALNT0280187". The record is from RNAcentral. Lineage: Eukaryota; Metazoa; Chordata; Mammalia; Primates; Hominidae.
AUAUGAAGACUGAACACAGUUUAGAGUUGUCUCUUUUUUAAGUCUUUUUCAUGGGGCUACAAAGAUGAAAUUAAGGAAAUCAAACUCCAGGAUCAGAAAGGAGAGCUGGAGUAGCAGCUUAAGGCCCUCCUUGGCUGAAAUCAUGUGUCUCCUGUAAGUGAAGGACCUACCAGCCCUGCUAAGGCCCUGGCAUUGGCAGUGAUAAGGCCGACUUCACCCACACGCACAGACAGGAGCAAUGGAUACACUGAAUGUGCUUUUGAGGGAGGACAUCUCAUUAGGCAGAAUUUCAGCAAAGUGGGGGUAAAAUCUCAGCCUGAUAACUGUAAACAUAUAUGCCAUUUCAGGAAUUAUCAUUUUACUCUAUAGCCAUAAUUUCUUCCCACCCUCUUAACCCUUCCAGGGAUAUGGAGAUAGAAGAAAUCUAAGGAAGAAUGAAGGUUCUCAUUCCUUUUUCCAGUUGCACAGUGUUUCAGUUGUCUAAAGCCUGCAGAAUUCCCAUGACAACGCCAACACCGCAGGUGCUAGAAUUAUUGUUUGAAAUGGUAACAAUUCCACUAUUCAUUAAGCACCUACAUCACAGGCUCAACUAGAUGCUUUGCAAACAUCUGGAUCCUCAGAACAACUGGGAAGGAAAGUCAUUCCAGUAUGUUUCAAGGUGGAGAUUCUUUUUGACAAAUCAGGCCCAUUCAUUAGAUUGCUGGUGUCCCAUCCACACCUCCUAGGCCAGUGAUUCUCAACAGGGGAAAUUUUGCCACUGAGGAGAAACUUGGCAAUAUCUGAAGCUAUCUUUGGCUGCCACAACUGCAGGGGAAGGGUGUCACUUGCAUCCAGUGGGUGGAGACCAGAGAUGCUGCUAAACAUCCUGCACUGCACAGGACGGCCUUCACAACAAAGAAAGUUCUGGUCCCAAAUGUCUAGAGUGCCAAGGCGGAGAAAUCUUUCACAGACAUAAGGAAUUCAUCCUUUAAUAAUUUCCACUUAGCAGUACCUCUCACACCAACAACACAUUUUCUUUCAGUGAAGUAGGUCUUGCACCACCCAAGAAAACAAAGAGAAAGUUCUCCAGAGCAGAAGAGUAGAGCUGAGCCCUGGGUCUCCACCCAUCGUUGAAGACCCAUACACAAGUGGGUCUCCACGCAACACUGUGUGUUGUUAAAAGGCUAACAGACUGGGUAAAAAUUGGCCAUCUGUGUGAUCAAAACUGACCACUCUGGAGUUCUUUGGAGUGCUUGACUAGUCACCCCCCUAAAAAAACCACUUUUAUAACCUCAAGAAACCCCUGGCUUCAGAGGCUCAGGAGUAGGAUGAAUGAUGACACCUGGCAUUACUCUGGUGCCUGCAGGUUUCAAAGCAAUUUUGCAUAUAUUGGUUUCCCUCCCCUCCCCCCGCCAACUAAUCUAUCUUGUGAUAAUGAUAGGGAGCAGAACAUAUAAGGCAAAUGUUAAGAAUUCGUUGUCAGGAGUGUAAUAAAAUGAGGAGAAUAAAACAGAAUGUCCUUCUCCUGCCAAGUCACUUAAACUGUCUGUAUCCCAUUAAUCCAGCAAAUAGAGAGGAUGAGCCAGGGAGUUCCAGAUCCCCCAGGAAUGCUUGGUACAUAAAGGUCAAGAACCAACAGUUUAGCAGGGCCUUCUUUGCCUUGCUGUGCAGUAAGAACCAACCGAAGAAAACUGCUCCAAGCCUAAUUUCUUGAUUAUUUUCUUUGGGGACCAUGCCUUAUGAAGGUGGUUCUCAGCCAGGGGCAGAUUUGCCCCUUAGGGUGCAUUUGACAAUAUCUGGAGGCAUAUCUGGUUGCUGUAACUUGGAGGGAGGGGGAGAUGCUACUGGUAUCUACUAGGUAGAGGCCAGAUAUGCUGCUCAACUUCCUACAAUGCACAGGACAGCCUCCCACACACAAGGCAAAGAAUGAUCUGGUCCCAAAUGUCAAUAGUACCAAGGUUAAGAAACCCUACUUUAUGGUUAAAAUUGUUAUGGUCAAAAUAAUUCUAAUAAAUCAGAAUCUAAGCAUCAGACUGGGACUUUUUUCAUUAUUUCAACUUUAGUUGUCUUCCUUCAUGUCCUUGCACACAGCACAGAUGAAAAGAUAUUACCUGGAAAGAUAAUAAGAUUUCUUCUCCCUUUCAGUGGAAUACAGAACAAGAGGAAGAGGGACCAGAAGG